GCGGGUGUAGCUCAAUUGGUAGAGCGCGACGUUGCCAACGUCGAGGUUGUGGGUUCGAGCCCCAUCACCCGCU
Molecule: transfer RNA, 73 nt
Filed under: Myxococcales bacterium
Lineage: Bacteria; Pseudomonadati; Myxococcota; Myxococcia; Myxococcales
Description: tRNA-Gly
Rfam family: tRNA
About the family: Transfer RNA (tRNA) molecules are approximately 80 nucleotides in length. Their secondary structure includes four short double-helical elements and three loops (D, anti-codon, and T loops).
Source: RNAcentral